UGAGUAAAUCAGAUAAUCGCAUUUACUACUUUAGAGUAAAUGAGGAAAGUCCGAGCUCCAUAGAGCAGGGUGCUGGGUAAUACCCAGUGGAGGCGACUCUAAGGAUAGUGCAACAGAGAGAUACCGCCUAUAGUAUAGGUAAGGGUGGAAAGGUGAGGUAAGAGCUCACCAGCUGUUAGGCGACUAACAGGCUAUGUAAACCCCAUCUGGAGCAAGACCAAGUAGGGAUUUUAAAAGCGGCUGCUCGUCGUAUCCCGUGGUAGGUUGCUUGAGCCUUCUGGUAACAGCUGGCCUAGAUUGAUGAUUAUCAAAAACAGAACUCGGCUUAUAGAUUUACUCAUAUU
RNAcentral lists this RNase P RNA (344 nucleotides) under Alkaliphilus sp. Its description in RNAcentral is "RNase P RNA component class A". It matches the Rfam family "Bacterial RNase P class A". From Rfam's summary of the family: Ribonuclease P (RNase P) is a ubiquitous endoribonuclease, found in archaea, bacteria and eukarya as well as chloroplasts and mitochondria. The record is from RNAcentral. Lineage: Bacteria; Bacillati; Bacillota; Clostridia; Peptostreptococcales; Natronincolaceae.